This 905-nucleotide ribosomal RNA is filed under the name uncultured marine archaeon. RNAcentral describes it as "bacterial SSU rRNA". It matches the Rfam family "Archaeal small subunit ribosomal RNA", at positions 4 to 914 of the family's 1478-position model. The record is from RNAcentral.
CCGGUUGAUCCUGCCGUAGGCUACCGCUAUUGGAGUUCGAUUAAGCCAUGCGAGUCCAGAGCUUUCGGAGCUCGGCGUACCGCUCAGUAACACGUGGGUAACCUAACCUAUGCAGGGGAAUAACCUCGGGAAACUGAGAAUAAUGCCCCAUAGUCCACUACGCCUGGAACGGUGAGUGGAUGAAAGCUCAGGCGGCAUAGGAUGGGCCUGCGGCGUAUCAGGUUGUAGGGGGUGUAAAGUACCCUCUAGCCCUCUACGCGUACGGGUGUUGGGAGACAUAGCCCGGAGAUGGAUUCUGAGACACGAAUCCAGACCCUACGGGGUGCAGCAGGCGCGAAAACUUGGCAAUGCGAGCAAUCGUGACCAGGGAACUCCAAGUGGCUGGGGUAAGACCCAGUCUUUUCAGAACUCUUCAAAGGUUUUAGAAUAAGGGGUGGGUAAGGACGGUGCCAGCCGCCGCGGUAAUACCGGCGCCUCAAGUGGUAGUCGCUUUUAUUGGGCCUAAAACGUCCGUAGCCGGUUUGGUACAUUCGUGGGUAAAUCAACUCGCUCAACGAGUUGAAUUCUGCGAGGACGGCCAGACUUGGGACCGGGAGAGGUGUGGGGUACUCUCAGGGUAGGGGUAAAAUCCUGUCAUCCUGAGAGGACCACCUGUUGCGAAGGCGCCACACUAGAACGGAUCCGACGGUCAGGGACGAAGCCUAGGGGCACGAACCGGAUUAGAUACCCGGGUAGUCCUAGGUGUAAACGCUGUGGACUUGAUGUUGGAGGAGCUCCGAGCUCUUUCAGUGUCGAAGCGAAGGUGAUAAGUCCACUGCCUGGGAAGUACGGUCGCAAGGCUGAAACUUAAAGGAAUUGGCGGGGGAGCACCGCAACCUGAGGAUUGUGCGGUUUAAUUGGAUUCA